Molecule: long non-coding RNA, 2060 nt
Filed under: Theobroma cacao (cacao)
Lineage: Eukaryota; Viridiplantae; Streptophyta; Magnoliopsida; Malvales; Malvaceae
Description: long non-coding RNA (TCAC_LNC003793)
Source: RNAcentral
CCAGCCAUAGCAAGAACAAAGGAAGAAAAGAAGAACAAAAAUCCUAGAGUGAAAAUUCAAGAGAAAAUUGGUGGAUUUCAAUUAAUCAAGCAAUCAAAGGUAAAAUUUCUUGAUUUUUACUUGUGAUCAAUCUUUCCCACGCAUUCUUUUGCAUUUUCCAUGGUUGAAUCACAUGAUUUCAUGAUGGGUCUCUUGCUGGCCGAACACUUAGAGAGAGAUUUUAAUGGUUGUUUUGAUUAGAUUUUAAGAUAUUCUAGUGUUUUUAGUUGAUUAGUGAUGUGUAGCAUGAAAAUCAAGCAAGAAAAAUUCAUGUUCUUCCAUAACCCUCAUUGGCCGAAUUCUCCAUGUGGAAUAUUGAUGAUGACUUUGAUUUUUUUUUUUCAAGUGAAUUGGUUAGGAAAUGAUGAAUUAUGGUGAGAAAAUCAAGUAGGAAAAACCAUAGUGUUGAUGCACCCACCAUGGCCGAACUUCUCAAGAGAAAAUGUGAAAAUGAUUUUGCUAAAUUUUUUGCUAUUUGACUUGUGUUUGAUGGUUUGGUGAAUUGGAAGAAAAAUGGAGUAAUUGGAGACUGUUUUCUAUGUUAUAAAUCAUGGUUUGAAUUGAAUGGCUUAUGAUAAUGUGGGCAUGAGUGGCUGGACUAGUAAUUGUGCUAAACAUAUAUGAACUAUUGUUUGCCUUGAUAGGCUGGAUAAUGAUAAAAUUGCCAUGUCAUGCUGUUGAAUUUUAUUGAAUUGGUGGGUUAUAGAUUGGUCACCGCAGUGGCGGGUUCUGUGGACCAACCUAUUAGAGAGGCACGAAAUCUUGUUAUAUUCUAACCUCGAUUGGAGAGGUGCGUAAGGUAACUCCCGAGGUAAAACUUUAGAGUUCACUUCAUGUUAAACCACCACGUGAGGGUGAACUCAGCCAAUGCUACGGAACGGCUAUGUUUUCAAAAUAAAAACAUGAUUUAUGCGUACAUAACUUUUUAACAACCUUGGUAGACUUGGUUGGGAUAGCCCUCGGCCAAGGUAUCCCUUACAACUGAGUAUGAGAAUAAUUUUGGCACAAGCCAAGUUUUAAGAAAUUCAUAAGCCAUGUUGAUUACUCGAUUUAAAUGAAUUGAUUUUAAUUUGUUGAAAUGAGUUGAAAAGUGAUGAAUUACAGUAUGAUGAUUUAUUUCAUUUGUCUCCAUUUAGUCGACUUUAGAUAUUUUGGAUGAUGUUUGUUUACUCACUGAGAUUAUAUAAUCUCAGCACCCUUCUUUCUACCACUUUCAGGCUCAGAAUAGUCGGUAGAUAGCUCAUUUCAUUAAAAGCUACCGUUGGAUUUGCAUCCUGCAAACUGCAGGUUCAUAGCCUUUAUUACUUUUGGUUAUUCGAGGGCCCACUUGUUAUUGUGAAUUAAAUCUUAUACUUUGGUUAUUUGUAUUACAGUAUGUAUGAAUUUAUUUAGCUUUUUAUGCUACAAAAAUUAUUUACCGAUAACUCUAUAAAUAUUGUUUUAUAAGAAAAUAGAAUAUUUUAUUGAAUAUUUUUAUUAUAUUCAAAAAGGUAUAGUUUCACUUUAAAUGAAUGUUUUAGACAUCUAAACUUAUUUUUUAUUAUGAAAUAUGUGUUAUCCACUCGCAUACUACAUUUUUAGUUGGUUUCGAGAUUUUGAGGAAAAAUGACCAAAAUGUCCCUAUGAGAAAAAAUUUAUUUUUCUAUUGUUUUGAUUUGGAAAUAGUUUAUAAUCUCUCAAAACAUGAUACUUAACAACUGUUGCUCACAGGGGAGGUGCGAAAAUUGAUAUUAAAGCCUUGCAAGGUUCCGGUUGGCAUUUCAGGCAAUGAAUGUCCAUUGGGAUGUCGCGACGGUUGUCACGAGCUCGAAGGGAGUACCGGGUUGUGACAACUUUUCUAGUUGAUGGAUGGCAUUCGCUUCAUGUUUCCCAAUGCAAACAUUGAAUUAUGAUUGCUUUUAACCAAAAUUGAAAAUGAUUUUUAUUUAAAAUCGUUUAUAAGAUUAUAAAACCAUUUAUAGCAAUUAACAAGACUUUCGAUGGCAUGCAUGACUAUAAAUGGAGUUUUCUUAUCGAUUGAU